GCGGAAAUAGCUCAGUUGGUAGAGCAUAACCUUGCCAAGGUUAGGGCCGCGAGUUCGAGUCUCGUUUUCCUCU
This 73-nucleotide transfer RNA is filed under the name Phocaeicola coprocola. RNAcentral describes it as "Bacteroides coprocola tRNA-Gly". It matches the Rfam family "tRNA". From Rfam's summary of the family: Transfer RNA (tRNA) molecules are approximately 80 nucleotides in length. Their secondary structure includes four short double-helical elements and three loops (D, anti-codon, and T loops). Further hydrogen bonds mediate the characteristic L-shaped molecular structure. tRNAs have two regions of fundamental functional importance: the anti-codon, which is responsible for specific mRNA codon recognition, and the 3' end, to which the tRNAs corresponding amino acid is attached (by aminoacyl-tRNA synthetases). tRNAs cope with the degeneracy of the genetic code in two manners: having more than one tRNA (with a specific anti-codon) for a particular amino acid; and 'wobble' base-pairing, i.e. permitting non-standard base-pairing at the 3rd anti-codon position. Lineage: Bacteria; Pseudomonadati; Bacteroidota; Bacteroidia; Bacteroidales; Bacteroidaceae. The record is from RNAcentral.